UACAGGAGGUGCAAACGUUGCUCGGAAUCAUUGGGCGUAAAGCGCACGUAGGCGGUUCGUUAUGUCGGAUGUGAAAGCCCUUGGCUUAACCGAGGAAGUGCAUCCGAAACUGGCGAGCUAGAGUACUAAAGAGGAUCGCGGAAUUCCCGGUGUAGAGGUGAAAUUCGUAGAUAUCGGGAGGAACACCGGUGGCGAAGGCGGCGAUCUGGGUAGAUACUGACGCUGAGGUGCGAAAGCGUGGGGAGCAAACAGG
This 253-nucleotide ribosomal RNA is filed under the name uncultured bacterium. RNAcentral's name for it is "partial 16S ribosomal RNA". It matches the Rfam family "Bacterial small subunit ribosomal RNA", at positions 524 to 776 of the family's 1533-position model. The record is from RNAcentral.